RNAcentral lists this long non-coding RNA (650 nucleotides) under Carica papaya (papaya). RNAcentral describes it as "long non-coding RNA (CPAP_LNC000059)". The record is from RNAcentral. Lineage: Eukaryota; Viridiplantae; Streptophyta; Magnoliopsida; Brassicales; Caricaceae.
UGGAUGAGCUUAAAAUUGAAUUUCGUACAAAAGAGAAAGUUUUUACCUUUUUUGGCGGUCGGAAAGGGUUCCGGUCCGGCGACGAGUGACGGCAGUUGCCUCCUCGACGGCAGGGUCGUCUUCUCCGGGGAGGGGUUCUGGCGACUAAGAUUAGGGUUUGGUGCAGAUGGGGGUUAUUUAUAUCCAUCUGCUUUUCAUCUGGACCGUCCAUCGCGUUUGAUCUGGACAAUUCAAUCGCAAUUAAAUAGGGAGUGAAUUUGGAUCGUUCACCGCGAUCUAAUCUGGGCCGUUCAUCGUGAUUUACUCUGGGCGAUCGCGUUUGAAUCUGGCCGUUCGAUCGCGUUUAGGAGGGAGUGCAUCCAGGCAGUCUGUGGGCGCGGGAACGGACCUCAGUUAUUCGAUCCUGGGCACGCGGAUCGCCCAUGUGCCCCGCCUUACAUGGCCUCCCGCGUCAAUGUCUCUGCUACUUGGCGCGUCCUGGUUGGUCCGGGCUGCUGACCUGGCCUGACGUCUGACGUGGCAAAACUUUUUAAAAUUAUUUUUUGGCCCAUGUUUUUCAAAUUUUCUUUCAAAAAUACCUCCAUACCCAAAUUUUCACAUUUUUUCCCAGAAUUGUUUUCAAUUUAAUCCUACAUCAAAUUUACUCUAUU